GACACUCUCACGUUACAAGUCAAAUUUAUAAAAAUUUAAUUAAGACAAUAUAAAAUCUGGUAUGAAACUAGAGUUUAUGAUUCAGAUUAUCCACCAUUUAUAUCUAUAUAUCAAACAAUAGUCUCGUCUCACUUCAGUUCCUAACAUAGUAUGCAGAACCAUUACAACGUAAAUUUUACAUGUAAUUGAUUUUUAUGUUUUGGGAAAGGGUUUGAGAGCUGAAGAUGGAGAGAGAUGUUUCAUUAGCGAUGGCGAAGGAGUGAGGGGGUCACUUUCCGUCAUCCCUUCCGUUACUAGAAACAUAAGGAGCUUUUCGAGUUGCUGGGGGUCAUGUUGGUGACCGUGGUGUUUUUGCUAGAGCUUCUGGUGAUUAUGCUAUUGUUAUUAGUCAUAGUCAUGAUAAUGAUACUUCUAGGUUUGCUUUUAUUAUCUCUUUUUUGUUUUAAUUUGUUGAUUAUUGUAAUGGUGAAGGUUUGCUUCCGAUCUUGACUGCUCAUGAGAUUGAUGUUGGAAGUGGCUUUUUUGUGAAGGCGUAGUGUGAACAAUUGAUAUGGAUGCUACUGAAGGUGUAGUGAGAUUUGAUUUGGAGAUAAUUUUAGUUUGAGUUUUUAGUGUUAAUGGUUCUGGACAUAUUUUUUGUCAUGUAAUUUAAGAGCAUCCACAAAAAAAUAUUCAGAUUAAGACUCACAUUAAUGAUAAUAUCAACCCCCAUUGUGGAAAAAAAAAAUAGGGAGAUUCACAGUCCUUAUUUUUUAUCAUCAACCACAAAAAAUUAUUCAGAUUAAGAUUCACAGUUUACAUUAAUCUGGACAUAUUUUUUAUCAUUUAUGUUCUCCCAAAAGUAAAAUCAGCAAUACACACAUAAUUUUAUUUUGGAAAACUAAGUAAGACAAUUUUUUUUUCCGAAUGAUAAGAAAUAUAUAAGUAAAGCACUAACCAAAUGUAGCAUAAGUCAAAACUAAAUCAAAAGAAAACAUUGUUAUAUUUAAAAGCAUAAUCAAACUGCAGAAUCGCCUUCAUUCCAUCUGCAGUUUUCUUCAUUCAUCUUUUUCUUUUGGCUGCUUGUCUUCCCUUCCAUGCAGAAUAACAUUCAGUUUUCAUUCCAUCUGCAAUUUUGCAUAAAAAUAAUAAAGCUUGUCGAGUGCACCUUAAUAUUACCAAAGUAAAGAACUAUACGUAGUUUGUAUUUGAAAGUCUCUGAUCCUUUUGUAUGUGUAACAUGGAACUCCUUCAUAGUCAUCAUAAGAAUGGAGGCAUUCCCGCAAAUCAGGAAUGGUUCUCAUUUUUGUGUGGAGUUUCUCACACUAUCAUGAUAUUGCUUCCUUUUUCUCUUAAAUACUCCAGUACCCUUUUGUUUCCGCAGUCUACUGAUAUCAGAACCAUCCAUGGCUUCUUUUCUGUUUUUUUUCCUUGUAUAGCAACAACUUGGCACUUGUCAUCUCCCAUUAUUUAGCCAUGCCACAAGCCAACAUUGCUUUUUUUAUUUGCGCAUCUCCAAAAUUCCUGCCUCUCAUUGUUCUCUGGUAUUUUAUGUUGCUGGUUAUGUUUGCUCUCAACUUCUUUGUUUCUACGAAGUGCCCAAAAGUCAAGAUCUUAGGCAAACCGUCUUCACUCUUCGCUAAUUCGUUUUUUUUUAGAACCAUAAUCAUUGCAUAUUCAAAUUCGUCUACAUCAAAAUUCUUGGGCAAUGGGAUAUUCUCAUAGUCCCAAACAAUUCCCACAUGGGAGUCGGGAUUCAUAGGUCCCCAGGAACUCAACCAUGCGAGGAAUAAUGGGACUUUGAGAUAGGUUGAAAUUUCUGUCUUUCCAUCAUUGUGAAUUUCCGUGACCGCGCAUCUUAAAACUGUUUGUCUAAAGUCUUCAAGAUACUUUGAAUACCAUCUUUUGUAACUGCCAAAUAUAGACAUGGGUGCAGCAAUCUGAUCAUUCACCGCGUUGACCGGUAUGAGAUCAUCCAUAGAGCUCUCUGCAAUACAAUACAAUACAUGCAUAAGGAAUCAACGCAUAGCAGAAUUGAUUUUGAAUAAAAUUCUUAUUAAACUAACAUAACUUACUUAGUGUUAUCUACAGACAACUGACACCCAAUUUUUUUUUCCAGAUUUGUUGAUUACUUCCUGCAACAGUGUUUGCAUGAGUUAUAUAAAAUCUAAAAAUUAAAAUAAUUGGUUAUUCAGAGUAACUCACCUUCAUUUUUCUUUCUAUGGACUUUCUUAGCCCACUUUUUAUCGAAACCUCCAGAUGAGUUAGUUGACUCAGUUCUCUGGACAAAGUUGAUUUUGCAUCGCCAAUUAUUGUAUCAAUUGGAUUCAUGGGCUGGUACGUUGCCAUUUUCGGAUCUUCUACCUGCAUUGAACAAAAACAACUAUAAAUCGAUGGAAAUCAUAAAACGACCAUCUAAAAAUGUAUAUGAUGUUCAGGUUUUGACAGAUUAGACAAUACUAACACUUUUUGGAAUAAAAUGUUUGGUCUAACUAGAAAUAAGCUCAAUAAUGUAGAAAUGAGUAUAUUUACGAAUGAGUGAACACAAAAGACAAAAUAAGAUUACAAAUGAAUGCAUUAUAGAGUUAAGGUAGCAACUUUGUAUUAUGUGUAUUAGGCUAUUAACAUAUAUCUCUAGUUUCAACGUACACUUUCUAAUCUAAUCUUGUUUUUAAUAAAAAGUUCUUAAUUAAUUGAAUGAUUUAAACGAAGAUUGUUCUCUUUAAUCUCUACCACAUAUGAUGGAACACACAUAGAAAAGUCCAUUGAUUCGGUGAUGUAAUCAUUUUAGAAUAAAAAUAGACUAAUUGUGGUAUUGGGAACUAAAUCAUCUUUAUUUUGCUUAAUUAUUUGUUAAGUUGUUGUUGAAGCCCUACAAAAUCUAUUGUAGUGGUUAAAAAGUACUUUGUGUUUUGUCUAGUCUUGUUUAUUUUUUGUAGGAUUAGGAAGGAAAAAAUCUAGAAUCUAUGCUUUUAGUUUGAAUAUGAAUGAAGAAAACUACAAAGUUGCUAUCUUAACUCUAUAAUGCAUUCAUUUGUAAUCUUAUUUUGUCUUUUGUGUUGACUCAUUCGUAAAUAUACUCAUUUCUAGUUAGACCAAACAUUUUAUUCCGUAAAGUAUUGUCUAAUCUGUCAAAACCAGAACAUCAUAUACAUUUUUAGAUGGUCAUUUUAUGAUUUCCAUCGAUUUAUAGUUGUUUUUGUUCAAUGCAAGCAUAAGAUCCGAAAAUGGCAUCGUACCAGCCCAUGAAUCCAAUUGAUACAAUAAUUGGCGAUGCAAAAUCAACUUUGUCCAGAGAACUUAGUCAACUAACUCAUCUAGAGGUCCCGAUAAAAAGUGGGCUAUGAAAGUCCAUAGAAAAAAAAAAUGGUGAGUUACUCUGAAAUUUUAAUUUUUACAUUUUUGACUUUAUAUGACUCAUGCAAACACUGUGUUGCAGGAAGUAAUCAACAAAUCUGAAUUUUUUUUGGGUGUCAGUUGUCUGGAGAUAACUCUAAGUAAAUUAUGUUAGUUUUAUAAGAAUUUUAUUCAAAAAUCAAUUCUGCUAUGCGUUGAUUCCUUAUGCCUGUAUUGUAUUGCAGAGAGUUCUAUGGAUGAUCUCAUACCGGUCAACGCAGUGAAUGAUCAGAUUGCUACACCAAUGUCUAUAUUUUGCAGCUACAAAAGACGGUAUUCAAAGUAUCUUGAAGACUUUAGGCAAACAGUUUUAAGAUGCGCAGUCACGGAAAUUCACAAUGAUGGAAAGACAAAAAUUUCAACUUAUCUCAAAGUCCCAUUAUUCCCCGCAUGGUUGAGUUCCUGGGGACCUAUGAAUCCCGACUCCCAUGUGGGAAUUGUUUGGGACUAUGAAAAUGUCCCAUUGCCCAAAAAAUUUGAUGUAGACGAAUUUGAAUAUGCAAUGAUUAUGGUUCUCGAAAAAAACGAAUUAGCGAAGAGUGAAGACAGUUUAGUUUGCCUAAGAUCUUGACUUUUGGGCACUUCUAGAAACAAAGAAGUUGAGAGCAAACAUAACCAGCAACAUAAAAUACCAAAGAACAAUGAGAGGCAGGAAUUUUGCGGAUGCGCAAAUAAAAAAAGCAAUGUUGUCUUGGGGUAUGGCUAAAAAAUGGUAGAUGACAAGUGCCAAGUUGCUGCUAUACAAGGAAAAAACAGAAAAGAAGUCAUGGAUGGUUCUGAUAUCAGCAGACUACGGAAACAAAAGGGUACUGGAGUAUUUAAGAGAAAAAGGAAGCACUAUCAUGAUAAUAUGUGAGAAACUCCACACAAAAAUGAGAACCGUUCUUAAUUUGCAUGUCAACUGGGAACGCGUCCAUUCUUAUGAUGAUUAUGAAGGAGUUCCAAAACAUGUUCCACAAACAAAAGGAUCAGAGACUUUCAAAUACAAACUACAAAAGUAAGUAUAGUUUUUUACUUUGGUAAUAUUAAGGUGUACUCGACAAGCUAAUUAUUUUUAUGCAAAACUGCAGAUGGAAGAGAAUCUUGGAAGGAAAACUGAAUGUUAUUCUGCAUGGAAGGGAAGACAAGCAGUCGAAAGAAAAAGAUGAAUGAAGAAAACUGCAGAUGAAAUGAAGGCGAUUCUGCAGUUUGAUUAUGUUUUUAAAUAUAACAAUGUUUUCUUUUGAUUUAGUUUUGACUUAUGCUACCUUUGGUUACUGCUUUACUUAUGUAUUUCUUAUCAUUCGGAAAAAAAUCUGUCUUACUUUUGUUUUCCAAAAUAAAAUUAUGUGUAUUGCUGAUUUUACUUUUGUAGAUGACACCACCUCUGAAUAGGUUUUACUUUCUAAAUGGUAUAAUAGUAUUACUAAUUACUAACAAGUAAAGUUGUUAAUAAUUACGCACCUUUUGAUGGAGCAAGGUCCUUGAACUAGUGCUGACAAGUUUAUCAUUGGUGGGAGGCUCCUCUGCCAUAAAUUGGAACUCCUCUGUUCUUUUUUAUGCGCUGUAACAAUAACUGUAUCAUUAGCCUUCCACAUAAAAAACAGAUUUCAAUCUGAAUGUGGUGUACAAUACCACUACUACUCUAAGCCUCUAACUAAUCCAUAUUUGUCUUUGAUACAUCCAAUAUUUCGUUCUUUUCUAUUUUUUGAUGAAUUAAUACAAAAACAAUAACCAGCACUAAAGCUUUUUCCGAGAUCAAUUUAGCCACAUGAAUCAAAACUAUAUGUCAUAAUAUCAAAAAUGUCUUAACAAACAAUUUAAAUCUAAAUCCUUAUGACUUAUCAAAAAAUUCCCUUAGGCUUCAGUAACAUUUUUCUAUCAUAAAUACAGCACUCAUCUGUUUCAUCCAACUCACUUGAUUAAAAGCUUUCAGGGAUACUGUGCUCAAUAACAGAUUUACCAUGUUAGAGCCUUAACCACCCUCUUCUACAAAGCAUAUAUUAGUGACAGCCUACAGGGGAUUAGUAGAGUUGAAAAAAUUUCAGAAACUAAUCAGGAAUACUAAACCCCAGUUUGUAAAGAGAUUUUCCGGUUUUUCCCUACAUUUUAGGGAAAAGGUCGGGGAGUCUGCUAUUUUAUUUAUUCUAAAUGAGGAAAAAUGAAAGAUAGAAUGCUAGUACUUUGUAGGAAAUAAGACGUGCUUGUGGAUUAGUGUGAUACUUCCCUUCAACAUCUUGAGCUUCAUGACUAUAACUACAAGUUGAUCUCCACCAGCAGGAGUGCCUUCAGGAGCUUUAGGUAUUGUAUGUGUCUCAUCAAAGUCCUUGCAACCUGAUCUUUGAUAAGCACCAGGAAAUACACUUUAAAUUAGUUUAAUCACCAUAAGUCCUGAAUAAAACCAAUACUAGCAGAGGACAUUGACAAAGACGUGAAUAUAUGUUAGGAAGAGUAAUAUAUUUUAUGACAAGGUUAUACAUGCUACAUAAUAUUACCAUCAAUUUUCUGUUUUCGCUUUAUUCUGUAAUAAUGAAAUAUUGAAAAAAGUUGGGGGCAGGGUCCUGAGAGUGAGCGUCUGAAACUCAACAGAAUCAACUUUAUAUUUCAGAAUCGGCUCUUCAAUUAUGGGUCUCGCAAUGUUCUUCGCGGUCUUAACAAAUCGCCUAAACAUCAAAACAAAAACAAAAACAUAAACAAAAAUAAUUCCAAAACACCUUAAUAAAAACAUAAGUUCUGUAAACUUGUUCAACCAAUCAACCUUAAUAAAAACAAAAAAUAUAGUUCAGAACCUAAAUCCUAAAACCCAAAAAUAGAAAUGUAACAAAGUUGUAUACUACUCUAUGUAACAUCGACGCCUAUGAUCAAAAGUGUGUCCAAUGUCCAACACUGACACAGACACGUGUGAUUACAUUCAAUUAAUUAAUUUUCUCAAACUAUCACCUGUGUGGACAUGUCUGUGUCAGUGUCGUAUCCGGUGUAUGUGUCAGUGCUUCGUAGAUAGUACUAGUUAAUUUAAUUUAAUUUACCCUAUCAAAGUCAGGAUUUUUAAUCCAAUUAGGAAUCACAGGAAGCACUGGUGUAAUUUUAGGAUCCAGUUCCAAAAUAAAAAACAACAAAAGUUAAAAAAGAAAAAAAAAAAAAAACCUCAAAAAUAAGCUAACUAAACAACAUAAACAAUGAGACCAAUUGAAAUUCCAACACCAAAUCCGAAGAACCCAUUUUGGAAUGGAUUUAAAUAAUUUCAGAUUGGGUUUUUGUUCACUUCGCCAUUAAUACAACUAUGAUGAAACUGAAGGUGUAAUGGAAAAUGAUUAGGGGUGAUGGUGAUGUUGUUCGUAAAUCUAGGGAUGGAGAUGGUGGGGUAGAUGAAGAAUGAAUGAAAUUUAACUAGCUGAAAUAAAGUAUUCAUGAUCAAUCAGUUUUUAUUUAUGAGUAUUUUGUUGUUAAAAUAUGCAUUUUUAUAUGAUUUAUUAUGGAGCAUUUGAUUUUUAGAGAGAGAAAUAUAUGUAGAGACAAGCUGUCAGCACGGGAAGAUGCCAAAUCAUAAUGAUCGCCCAAUAUAAUGACUCUCUUCCUAGAUACAAAAUACUCAUAAAUAAUUCUUACACAGAUCUAAAUAUAGAAAAUUGAUUUUUGAGAAAUAAAGGUAGGGGACUCUGCUAUUUUAUUUAUUCUAAAUAAAGAAAAAUGAAAGAUAGAACCCUGAUACUAAGUAGGAACUUGUACCUUAGUCUUUUUCUCUUCCCCUCUGAAAAUAAGACAAGCUUGUGGAUUAGUUUGAUACUUCCCUUCGACAUCCUGAGCUUCAAGGACUGUAACUACAAGUUGACCUCCACCAGCUGGAGUGCCUUCGGGAGCUUUAGGUAUUGUUUGUGUUUCAUCAAAGCCCUUGACUGCCUCCUCUUCAUUUAAGCGUUUAUAAGUUAAUUCCACAACAAUCUGUCCUCGCAAUUUCUCAUUAUGAGUAUCAUUGGGAUCCAUAGUUUUGAGAAGGUCCAGAGUAAAACGUUU
Molecule: long non-coding RNA, 7365 nt
Filed under: Medicago truncatula (barrel medic)
Lineage: Eukaryota; Viridiplantae; Streptophyta; Magnoliopsida; Fabales; Fabaceae
Description: long non-coding RNA (MTRU_LNC002018)
Source: RNAcentral